Paramuricea clavata is the source of this 97-nucleotide non-coding RNA. NCBI's taxonomy places the organism in Eukaryota, Metazoa, Cnidaria, Anthozoa, Malacalcyonacea, Plexauridae. The record is from the annotation of a GenBank genome assembly.
UACCUCAAAAAACCACAACAGUCUGUUUCAUCUGUAUAAGAAUCAUCAGGUGAUGAUGAUGAUUCCUAUACGGAUGAAACAGACUGUUGUGGUUUUU